This 295-nucleotide long non-coding RNA is filed under the name Nicotiana benthamiana. RNAcentral's name for it is "long non-coding RNA (NBEN_LNC017098)". The record is from RNAcentral. Lineage: Eukaryota; Viridiplantae; Streptophyta; Magnoliopsida; Solanales; Solanaceae.
CCAUCUAAUCCGCGGUUGUCCCCGAGCACCCCUCAUCUUCCUCUUUACCCAGAGACCGACAUCCAUCACGAGGAGUCUGUGAAGAGUCGAAAGGGACUCUCCCAGAAUAACCUUGCCGUCCUUGCACAUACCCCCAUCGCUCCUUCUGAGGAGGAUGUAAUCAAUCUGAUUCCUCGCCGCCGAACUCUUGAAGGUGACCAUAUUCUCCUCCCUCUUCUGAAAUGUCGAGUUCAAAAUCAGAAGCUCGGAAGCCCUGGCGAAAUCAAGCAGUGAAGUGCCUCCUCCGUUCCUAACC